UACGUAGGGCGCGAGCGUUGUCCGGAAUUAUUGGGCGUAAAGAGCUCGUAGGCGGUCUGUUGCGUCCGCUGUGAAAACUCGGGGCUUAACCCCGAGCCUGCAGUGGAUACGGGCAGACUAGAGGUAGGUAGGGGAGAAUGGAAUUCCCGGUGUAGCGGUGAAAUGCGCAGAUAUCGGGAGGAACACCGGUGGCGAAGGCGGUUCUCUGGGCCUUACCUGACGCUGAGGAGCGAAAGCGUGGGGAGCGAACAGG
RNAcentral lists this ribosomal RNA (253 nucleotides) under uncultured bacterium. RNAcentral describes it as "partial 16S ribosomal RNA". It matches the Rfam family "Bacterial small subunit ribosomal RNA", at positions 524 to 776 of the family's 1533-position model. The record is from RNAcentral.